This 869-nucleotide long non-coding RNA is filed under the name Mus pahari (shrew mouse). RNAcentral's name for it is "lncRNA (MGP_PahariEiJ_G0006315.1)". Lineage: Eukaryota; Metazoa; Chordata; Mammalia; Rodentia; Muridae. The record is from RNAcentral.
AAUUUUAAUUUUGAUAAGUUAAUUUUGUGGGUAGCUGAUGUAGUCGGUUCUUUUUAAGGCUAAAAGCCUAUUGGAGAAUUAGGUUAACAAAGGGUGAAGGUGAAGAUCAUUACAGGUUUCAGUGUUGGCUGAGAUGGGUUGCUGAGGUUGUGUAACUGUGUCUAGAGGGGCGGGGUUCCUGUACAUUCCUACUUCAGCAGAUAACCUGUCCCCGGCCAUACUCCAGCUUCUCCCAGACAGAUGGAAAUCUCCAGAGGAAAAUCUGCACAGUCCUUCUAAGAAGCUGGGUUCUGCUCGAUGGAUGUUAUCGGAAGGCUGCGGAGGACUUGAGAACUGUGAACACUCUCACCAGGAGAUCGAGCCUUACUCCUCCUUGGUAUAAGGAAGGCUGGCAUGACCAUCCACUUCACAUCCACCAGUGUGCUGACACCAAGCAGAAAAUUCCAAGUAGAGAGCAGACUCCGUGUAGUCAGACGUUCCUGGAGAAAAUUGCUUCGUCAUUCUUCAGAAUGAAAAAAAAAGUAGAUUCCCUUCAGAAUCCUCUAGUCUUAGAAUGACUAGGUAGAAUUUUAUGUUUAUUUAGAUCUCUUCCAUGUCUAAAUCUUUGGUCAUCUUCCUAUCUUCUAGUUCCAUAAAUAAAAGUAAAAUGUUACUAAAUGAAUACAAUUAUUUUGGUCUCAGUGAAUCAGUUGAGGCUUGGCUGAACCAGCCCAAGUUUGGGGAGCUGCAUGGGACUAUAAUUUACCAUAUCAUUGCAUUUGCUACCUCCUGAUGAUGUGGGUUUUAUGUGUGGGCCAAAACUUCUCUCCAGUUUUGUCUAAUUGGAAAAGAGAAUAAAGAUGUUGUUUCGAUGGGCUUUGAUCUUAUAG